GUUAUAAGACGAGUCGGGAAAGUUUUUUCGCUAAGAGAUCAGUCUAUGUCCUAUCAGCUAGUUGGUGAGGUAAUGGCUCACCAAGGCUAUGACGGGUAUCUGGUUUGAGAGGAUGAUCAGACACACUGGAACUGAGACACGGUCCAGACUCCUACGGGAGGCAGCAGUGAGGAAUAUUGCACAAUGGAGGAAACUCUGAUGCAGCAACGCCGCGUGGAGGAUGACGCAUUUCGGUGUGUAAACUCCUUUUAAGAGGGAAGAUAAUGACGGUACCUCUUGAAUAAGCACCGGCUAACUCCGUGCCAGCAGACGCGGUAAUACGGAGGGUGCAAGCGUUACUCGGAAUCACUGGGCGUAAAGGGUGCGUAGGCUGGCUUCUAAGUCAGAUGUGAAAUCCAAUGGCUUAACCAUUGAACUGCAUUUGAAACUGGGAGCCUAGAGUUCAGAAGGGGCAGAUGGAAUUAGUGGUGUAGGGGUAAAAUCCGUAGAUAUCACUAGGAAUAUCAAAAGCGA
Molecule: ribosomal RNA, 513 nt
Filed under: uncultured Campylobacterota bacterium
Lineage: Bacteria; Pseudomonadati; Campylobacterota
Description: bacterial SSU rRNA
Rfam family: Bacterial small subunit ribosomal RNA
Source: RNAcentral